This 550-nucleotide long non-coding RNA is filed under the name Androctonus crassicauda. The record is from RNAcentral. Lineage: Eukaryota; Metazoa; Arthropoda; Arachnida; Scorpiones; Buthidae.
CGAGUUUAUAACGAAUUUCUUGCAACUUCUAAUAAGAUUUAAAGGAAAGUAAUAAUUCUCUUUCUUGCGAGAUGUGCAAUUUGAAAGUAAUUUAGGGAAAAAUAAUGAUUACUUACCAUAAAAAUGCGCUAAAAUUUGGAAGAGGGAGAGAAAGAGAAAGAAAGAGAGAGAUGUACGACUGCAUCAAUUUUCGAGAAAAAGAAGAAAACAAGAGAUAUUUAACUUUACUAUAUCUCUCUACUUUAUUAAAAUCUAAAAAUAAACUUAACAUUAUCAGUAAUUAUAUGCCAUAUUUUAUCAUGAUCAACUUUUAAAAAUUUUCUUAUUAAUUACCAAAUUAAUCAAGACCGAUAUAAAAAUAAACAAAAGACGAUAAGUACAUAUUUCAAAAACACAUCCAUUUUCGUUAAUUACUUAAAAUAUAAUUUCCAUUAAAUCGAUGUUAAGAUGGAUUAAUAUAAACUCUAACAAGCUUCGCCCGUUUCACUAAAGCAUAACAUUUAUAAUUAAAUAAUUAUCCAAUUAACAAACAACGUUGGUUCAAGAAAAG